Sorex araneus (European shrew) is the source of this 2230-nucleotide long non-coding RNA. RefSeq lists it as uncharacterized. The record is from RefSeq and is a predicted model, not a curated record. NCBI's taxonomy places the organism in Eukaryota, Metazoa, Chordata, Mammalia, Eulipotyphla, Soricidae. The transcript has 7 exons.
GCCGCCGGCUCCUCCCCGGCCCCGCCUCGCUCCCGCCGGCCCCGCGCCCGCUGCCUUUUCUUUGCCCUCCGCCACCCUUGGCGUUCUCCUCGCUUCUUCUGAUUAUUUUAUUUUUAUUAUUAUUAUUAUUAUUAUUAUUUAAUUUCCCAUCCAAGCCCCGCCCCGGGCCAGCAAAUAAAUCUAGCCGCGGCCCGCCGGACGCGCGGUCUCGAACCCGCGGCGGGGAAAUGCCAAGCUCGGUGCCAAGAGCGUGGCCUCCGUGCAGGGACCCUCCCCGGGCGAGGGAAGCUGGCGCUUGCCGCCCUGGCACGAGCUCCCCCCGCCGCCCCCCGCCCCCCCGCCCCGAGAUGCCUGCUGACCCUCCCAUUUAAAAGCGGAUGGCACUGAGUCCGCCCGGGAGGGUAAGGUGACCCGCACACGGUCCUACCGCAGCACUCAGUUUAGACUGGCACCGGGUGACUUCGACCGCUCACUGGAAAACGUGACGCCUGCCAGUGUCGGGCAACGUGUAACCUCUCCUGGCACCGAGACCGGCGCGAGGAGCGAGCUGGAAACCAAAAAAGCUUUAUGUGUGGCAACGCUGGGUGGAGGCGACCUGGGGCACUGGAGGAAAAGCGCCGGGACACAGCGUGCUGGGGUGCCAGCCAGCGGCAGGGAGGGUCCAGACUGAAGGGCAAAUUGCCACAAUGAGAAACUCCCAGGCAUCAGAGGUGUGUGUCUGUUCUCUGCGAAUCCCGAGUCUAAAGUUGUACCUGCUCCUUGCUCGCUGUCCCUUCGUCGAUGAGGGCUUGCAAGUUCUUCUAAUAGCCAUGUGUGACUAUGGCAGAAAACACCCACAUGAUAAAUCAAUGGAUUGAGAGGAUAAAGAAGUUGCAGUAUGCAUACUCAACGGAAUACAAUUUAGCUACCAAGAAAGAUGAAAUUUUUUCUACAACAACCCGGGCAAGUGCUUGAGCCCGCAAGUUCUCAUUAAGGUGUGACUCAAGAACACAGGGUUCAGUCGAAUGACCGAAUGACCGAAUGACCUCAGAACUCAGAAUGGGAAGAAUAGUGUCAAGAGCAUUGUCCAUUUCCUUCUGAAUCUGCCAUUCAUCGGUUUCUGCAACUGCAGCUGCAGUCGUUGAAAGGAGCUUUUGAGAUUUGCCUUUCCAAGAUCUACCUGGAAUGAAGUACAAAAGUGAUGUCUCGCGGGCAAGUCAUCUUUUUGUAACUUUGCCUUUGGGAAGCUGAAUUAAGCAGAGAACACCGCCCUUUUCAGAUACAGUUUGAGAUCAAACCAUCUCCAAGUGAAGUGUCACUGCUAAGCGGAAAUGUGCAACUGAGGGAAAUGUAAUUAACCAUGUGAGAUGAAAGACGGGUUCUGUUUCUAUUCUUCUACAUUAAACGAUAUCAGAAACCUCUGCUGUGAAGAAGGAAUCAGAGAGCAGGCAGCAAAAUAAAAGUCCUGUAAAGCAACUUAUUCAAAAGAAUAUUCACUGUAUCACUGUCAUCCCGUUGCUCAUCGAUUUGCUCAAGUGGGCACCAGUAACGUCUCCAUUGUGUGACUUGAGUCUCAUUUUAGAGACCCUCCCAGGCUGUGAAGUUCAGAAAUGUGCUCCAGCCAAUCAUUGUACCAGCUAAGAUGGAAAAACAGCCAGUGUCAGUGUAAUAUCGAAAGUGCCCAAGUUAUACAAAGUCCCAUAAAGAGUUCGUCUCCUUCUGGUGAAAGAAUAUUCUCUUUUUCAGAGAUCACCCCUUUGAAAUUUCACUUGUUCCUCAUCUGAACCAUAGAAUGUGCUGUCGAAAGAGUUCAUCUGUGGUAGGAAUUCAGCAACCUAAGUGGUGAAAACCAAGACUCUCCUGCUUGGAGCCAAGAGAAUCAGGAAUGAAGGACAAGAUGACUGAAAAUAACUCCAGGCUUAUUUCAAUACAUUUGCAUAGUGAAAAUAUCACACCCUUGCACCGGGGGAUGGUUUACAAUGGCUGUGACAGUCUCCUGGAACUGACCCAAUAUGGUGAGAAUCUGAACGGUUCCUGAAUCCAGGAAAUCUCCACCCCCAGGGCCCUGUUUCUGCCCUGAAAAGUUGCAAAUAUUCUGCCCCUUAAUUGAUUUGUCCAAUACCUAUAUUGACUAGCAAUCAAUAUAUGUAAAGUGAGGGCAACUCACUCUGGAGUUUGCCCACCCUCUGACACUUGGAGUUUGUAUUAUUACUUUCAAUAUCCCCUAAUAAACAUGUUCUGUUCUCUCUUA